RNAcentral lists this unclassified non-coding RNA (394 nucleotides) under soil metagenome. Its description in RNAcentral is "partial contains 5.8S ribosomal RNA, internal transcribed spacer 2, and large subunit ribosomal RNA". The stretch from base 1 to 120 matches the Rfam family "5.8S ribosomal RNA", at positions 35 to 154 of the family's 154-position model. The record is from RNAcentral.
GAUGAAGAACGCAGCGAAAUGCGAUAAGUAAUGUGAAUUGCAGAUUUCAGUGAAUCAUCGAAUCUUUGAACGCACCUUGCGCUCCUUGGUAUUCCGAGGAGCAUGCCUGUUUGAGUGUCAUUAAAUUCUCAACUCUCCAACUGUUGUCAUGACUGGUGGUAGAGCUUGGACGUGAGGGUUCUGCCGGCUCCUUGUUGAGUCUGGCUCCCUUGAAAAUGAUUAGCGCAGCUUUGCACUGUCCGCUUCAGGUGUGAUAAUUUAUCUACGCCCGACUAGCGACGCGCAUAAAUGGCUUUGUGCUUCUAACCGUCUCGAAAGAGACAAUACCUUUUGAACUUGACCUCAAAUCAGGUAGGACUACCCGCUGAACUUAAGCAUAUCAAUAAGCGGAGGA